This 403-nucleotide ribosomal RNA is filed under the name Verrucomicrobiota bacterium. RNAcentral's name for it is "Verrucomicrobia bacterium partial 16S ribosomal RNA". It matches the Rfam family "Bacterial small subunit ribosomal RNA", at positions 355 to 776 of the family's 1533-position model. The record is from RNAcentral. Lineage: Bacteria; Pseudomonadati; Verrucomicrobiota.
UGGGGAAUAUUGCACAAUGGGCGCAAGCCUGAUGCAGCAACGCCGCGUGAACGAUGAAGGUCUUCGGAUCGUAAAGUUCUUUUGCAGGGGGAGAUAAUGACGGUACCCUGUGAGGAAGCCCCGGCUAACUACGUGCCAGCAGCCGCGGUAAUACGUAGGGGGCUAGCGUUAUCCGGAUUUACUGGGCGUAAAGGGCGUGUAGGCGGCUAGAUAAGUGUGAUGUUUAAAUCCAAGGCUUAACCUUGGGGUUCAUUACAAACUGUUUAGCUUGAGUGCUGGAGAGGAUAGUGGAAUUCCUAGUGUAGCGGUAAAAUGCGUAGAUAUUAGGAGGAACACCGGUGGCGAAGGCGGCUAUCUGGACAGUAACUGACGCUGAGGCGCGAAAGCGUGGGGAGCAAACAGG